Molecule: ribosomal RNA, 388 nt
Filed under: uncultured soil bacterium
Lineage: Bacteria
Description: bacterial SSU rRNA
Rfam family: Bacterial small subunit ribosomal RNA
Source: RNAcentral
AGAUUGAACGCUGGCGGCAUGCCUAACACAUGCAAGUCGAACGGGAGUAGCAAUACUCUAGUGGCGGACGGGUGAGGAAUACGUAGGAAUUUGCCCUUAAGUGGGGGAUAACCCGGGGAAACCCGGAUUAAUACCGCAUGACCUCGAAAGAGCAAAGUGGGGGAUCGCAAGACCUCACGCUUUUGGAGAAGCCUACGUCGGAUUAGCUAGUUGGCGAGGUAAUGGCUCACCAAGGCGACGAUCCGUAACUGGUCUGAGAGGAUGAUCAGUCACACCGGAACUGAGACACGGUCCGGACUCCUACGGGAGGCAGCAGUGGGGAAUAUUGGACAAUGGGCGCAAGCCUGAUCCAGCAAUGCCGCGUGUGUGAAGAAGGCCUGGUUGUAAG